AGAAUCAACGCUGGCGGCGUGCCUAACACAUGCAAGUCGCACGAGAAAGGGACUUCGGUCCUGAGUAAAGUGGCGCACGGGUGAGUAACACGUGACUAACCUACCCUUGAGUGGGGGGAUAACCUAGGGAAACCUGGGCUAAUACCGCAUAAUACCUUCGGGUCAAAGGAGCAAUUCGCUUAAGGAGGGGGUCGCGGCCGAUUAGUUAGUUGGCGGGGUAAUGGCCCACCAAGACUGUGAUCGGUAUCCGGCCUGAGAGGGCGCACGGACACACUGGAACUGAAACACGGUCCAGACUCCUACGGGAGGCAGCAGUGGGGAAUUUUGCGCAAUGGGGAAACCCUGGACGCAGCAACGCCGCGUGGAGGAUGAAGUCCCUUGGGACGUAAACUCCUUUCGAUCGGGACGAUUAUGACGGUACCGGAAGAAGAAGCCCCGGCUAACUUCGCGCCAGCAGCCGC
Molecule: ribosomal RNA, 461 nt
Filed under: uncultured bacterium
Lineage: Bacteria
Description: SSU rRNA
Rfam family: Bacterial small subunit ribosomal RNA
Source: RNAcentral